AGUUUUCAAAAUGAUUUUUCGCGCCGUCUCUCUCUCUCUUUCUCUCUUUCUCUCCCUCUCUCUCUCUCUCUCUGUCUGUCUCUCUGCAUCCUUCGUACGUGCACAUCAACACUAGCUUCAUGGCUUUACUAUACACAGGCGAACAGAGUUCAACCACUUUCAAGACGCGGGUGGAGCUCUUUUUUUCGAAAACACGUAAAAGUAAUAUAUAAUUGUAUCAGUUGAGCUAUAUGACAUCAGUGUCCACUGGCAAAAAUCAAAAUACAAAGUGCGAUUCGUAAAUUACUAUAAAUAUACCAGAAAAGAGGAAAGUAAGCGCGCCGAAAAUGGUUCAUUCCUAAAGUACGACGUGCAAAACCGAACGCGCCGCACCCCGCUAUAACUCUCAGAAAAUCCACCAAACAAGUUGAUGGUCAUAGACAAGCCCCUCUGACGCUGUAAUUCGAUAGUUCCAUUUAAUAGGCGGGCUUUCAAUAAAGGAAUCGGCCGACUAUUGGCUGACUGUCACGUCAAUCAAACGCUGAUUUGCAUAAGCAGGUCAGGUUGCAGUUGCAGGGGAGUGGGCAGGGUUGGGAUAGCGCAAGUGAGCUGAACUUCUGCGCUGGUGUAGUGUACUAUCCUCAAUUUAAUACUUUAUUUGAGAAAUUAUUUUCUUUGAUGAAAAUAGCUCUUGCUGCGUGUGUUCUGACAGGACACCACUGAGGAAUGUUGGAUUUGCUAUUCUUCGUGUAAUUAAUGGGUUUAUUGGGAAGUUGAGAUAUUUACAGUGAUUCCAUGGUUUCCUGUGGCAUCAGAACUUGUGAUUUCUGAAAGCAGGUAAGCCACUGACUAACGCACAUUGCGCCUAUUCUCCACUCCACUGUGCGUGUGACAGCGGCUAACCAGCUUUUGGAUGUGUGCCUGACUUCAGCAGCCGUGGGAAUGUCCCACUGGAGACUACUUAACGGAUAUAGUCACCGGAGGGACACUUUUGGGUCCACGGUCCCUCUACAAGUCUUUGUUGCUGUAGCUCAACUGGUAAUGCUUGAAACACGAAGGUUGUGUGUUCGAUUCCCAUGGAGCACAUGUCCUGAAUAAAUACACUGGGAUCAAUGUACAGUAAAUGUAAAUUUUGUAUGACAUCAGCCUACGUGCAGUGUGUCACAGCCAGUGCUGGAUAUACAUGUGCUCCUGUACAGUCUUGUGUCAUACCGAUUAAACUUGUGUCUGUAGAUUAAGUUUAGUAUGCAAUAAUGAUUUUAUCAAUAUAUUUUGCAUGCAUCCAGCAUCUCUGAACUUCUGAACUUGUGGGAGUGUCAUUAUGUCAGCUGAAAUAACUUUGAAUCAUAUUUUCACAACUUCAGUGUGACAAUCAGUGUUAUUUUCCAUUAAUUUUUCAUUAAAGUUUCGUUUUCAGUUUUGGUUGUGUACAGUAAAUGUGGUUUAGUAGAUGUUAUCUCUUUUCAAUAUGUUGGUGAUUUCAUGAUAUGACACUAUAUUAUAUUAUGAAAAUAUAUCAAAUAAAAUAUAAAGUAAAUCUUAA
This is a long non-coding RNA of Megalobrama amblycephala (Wuchang bream), 1522 nucleotides long. RefSeq lists it as uncharacterized. The record is from RefSeq and is a predicted model, not a curated record. The transcript is spliced from 2 exons. NCBI's taxonomy places the organism in Eukaryota, Metazoa, Chordata, Actinopteri, Cypriniformes, Xenocyprididae.